UUGGAGAGAAGUCAAGCUUCAUAAAUAUAGCCGGGUAUAAUACCGCAAGGUGAAUCUAGUUCAUUGGCAAAAGCCCAAAAGGUACAGACCUUCUGGUUUUGGGUGCUUUUCGCCGUAUUGUUCAUUGUAAUCUUAAAAGACAUAUGUCACUCAUGAGGCUGGAGGAUAAUGCAACCUGUUGUUUCCUUUAAUUCCUGUUGCCACUCCUGGUAUUAGCUGUCUUCCUGUUCGUACGAUUUUUAUAUGCUAAUUAGGACAUGCAACUUGUGUAGUUUAUCAUGGGACAUCUUGGAUACAAAUCUAUAACCAACCCCCCCCCCCUUUCAAGUAAAUUUUUCUGACGUCCGUCUUUGACCAUUCAAAACUUGCUGGAUUUAUGUGCUUUUUAAAAGUCCUUUCUCGGUUUCCGUAAAAGGGUUGGCCAAUCCCCGGCCACUACUCCAUGAACCAUUUGGAGCUGUUUAAGAACAGCA
Long non-coding RNA from Chrysoperla carnea, 473 nucleotides. RefSeq lists it as uncharacterized. NCBI's taxonomy places the organism in Eukaryota, Metazoa, Arthropoda, Insecta, Neuroptera, Chrysopidae. The transcript has 3 exons. The record is from RefSeq and is a predicted model, not a curated record.